RNAcentral lists this transfer RNA (90 nucleotides) under Gammaproteobacteria bacterium. RNAcentral describes it as "tRNA-Ser". It matches the Rfam family "tRNA". Rfam says of the family: Transfer RNA (tRNA) molecules are approximately 80 nucleotides in length. Lineage: Bacteria; Pseudomonadati; Pseudomonadota; Gammaproteobacteria. The record is from RNAcentral.
GGAGAGGUGUCCGAGCGGUUGAAGGAGCACGCCUGGAAAGUGUGUAUACCCUAACCGGUAUCAAGGGUUCGAAUCCCUUCCUCUCCGCCA